GUGAACGCUGGCGGUAGGCCUAACACAUGCAAGUCGAACGGCAGCACAGUAAGAGCUUGCUCUUACGGGUGGCGAGUGGCGGACGGGUGAGGAAUAUAUCGGAAUCUACUUUUUCGUGGGGGAUAACGUAGGGAAACUUACGCUAAUACCGCAUACGACCUACGGGUGAAAGCAGGGGAUCUUCGGACCUUGCGCGAUUGAAUGAGCCGAUGUCGGAUUAGCUAGUUGGCGGGGUAAAGGCCCACCAAGGCGACGAUCCGUAGCUGGUCUGAGAGGAUGAUCAGCCACACUGGAACUGAGACACGGUCCAGACUCCUACGGGAGGCAGCAGUGGGGAAUAUUGGACAAUGGGCGCAAGCCUGAUCCAGCCAUACCGCGUGGGUGAAGAAGGCCUUCGGGUUGUAAAGCCCUUUUGUUGGGAAAGAAAAGCAGCAGGUUAAUACCCCGCUGUUCUGACGGUACCCAAAGAAUAAGCACCGGCUAACUUCAUG
RNAcentral lists this ribosomal RNA (491 nucleotides) under uncultured bacterium. RNAcentral's name for it is "partial 16S ribosomal RNA". It matches the Rfam family "Bacterial small subunit ribosomal RNA", at positions 29 to 507 of the family's 1533-position model. The record is from RNAcentral.